UGUGUACUCCCUCCGUUCCAAAAUACUUGACUUCCAUUUGUCCAAAAAUGGAUGUACCUAUAUACUCAAACAUGUCUAGAUACAUAUAUAUUUUGACAAAUAGAAGGCAUGUAUUGUGCAAUGGAGGGAGUAGAAU
Molecule: non-coding RNA, 136 nt
Organism: Triticum aestivum (bread wheat)
Lineage: Eukaryota; Viridiplantae; Streptophyta; Magnoliopsida; Poales; Poaceae
Source: Rfam